UCGGCAGGCGGACUCUCAACCACUGCGCCACCAGGGAAGCCCGUAACAGUGGUUUAAGCAGAGAUGCUAACAGCAAGUGGAUAUUGUCGCCUUUGGAGGGCUGCAGCUGCGCCCCUCAAAGUGAAUUUGGAGGUUCUACACGC
Small nucleolar RNA from Physeter macrocephalus (sperm whale), 143 nucleotides. The record is from Ensembl. Lineage: Eukaryota; Metazoa; Chordata; Mammalia; Artiodactyla; Physeteridae.